GAUGAAGAACGCAGCGAAAUGCGAUACGUAAUGUGAAUUGCAGAAUUCAGUGAAUCAUCGAGUCUUUGAACGCACAUUGCGCCCCCUGGUAUUCCGGGGGGCAUGCCUGUCCGAGCGUCAUUGCUGCCCUCAAGCACGGCUUGUGUGUUGGGCCUCCGUCCUCCUCCCGGGGGACGGGCCCGAAAGGCAGCGGCGGCACCGCGUCCGGUCCUCGAGCGUAUGGGGCUUCGUCACCCGCUCUUGUAGGCCCGGUCGGCGCUUGCCGACACAUCAAUCUUUUUUCCAGGUUGACCUCGGAUCAGGUAGGGAUACCCGCUGAACUUAAUCAUAUCAAUAAGCGGAGGA
This 345-nucleotide unclassified non-coding RNA is filed under the name soil metagenome. RNAcentral describes it as "partial contains 5.8S ribosomal RNA, internal transcribed spacer 2, and large subunit ribosomal RNA". The stretch from base 1 to 120 matches the Rfam family "5.8S ribosomal RNA", at positions 35 to 154 of the family's 154-position model. The record is from RNAcentral.